Molecule: ribosomal RNA, 510 nt
Filed under: uncultured bacterium
Lineage: Bacteria
Description: bacterial SSU rRNA
Rfam family: Bacterial small subunit ribosomal RNA
Source: RNAcentral
AGAGUUUGAUUAUGGCUCAGGAUGAACGCUGGCGGCGUGCUUAACACAUGCAAGUCGAACGGAGUUUUUAAACGGAAGUUUUCGGAUGGAAGUUUAGAAACUUAGUGGCGGACGGGUGAGUAACGCGUGGGUAACCUGCCUCAUACAGGGGGAUAACAGUUAGAAAUGACUGCUAACACCGCAUAAUAUAGCGAAACCGCAUGAUUUUGCUAUCAAAUAUUUAUAGGUAUGAGAUGGGCCCGCGUCUGAUUAGCUAGUUGGUGGGGUAAAAGCCUACCAAGGCGACGAUCAGUAGCCGGCUUGAGAGAGUGACCGGCCACAUUGGGACUGAGACACGGCCCAAACUCCUACGGGAGGCAGCAGUGGGGAAUAUUGGACAAUGGGGGAAACCCUGAUCCAGCGACGCCCGCGUGAGUGAAGAAGUAUUUCGGUAUGUAAAGCUCUAUCAGCAGGGAAGAUAAUGACAGUACCUGACUAAGAAGCCCCGGCUAACUACGUGCCAGCAGCAGC